Molecule: ribosomal RNA, 465 nt
Filed under: Vreelandella stevensii
Lineage: Bacteria; Pseudomonadati; Pseudomonadota; Gammaproteobacteria; Oceanospirillales; Halomonadaceae
Description: partial 16S ribosomal RNA
Rfam family: Bacterial small subunit ribosomal RNA
Source: RNAcentral
CCUACGGGUGGCUGCAGUGGGGAAUAUUGGACAAUGGGCGAAAGCCUGAUCCAGCCAUGCCGCGUGUGUGAAGAAGGCCUUCGGGUUGUAAAGCACUUUCAGUGGGGAAGAAAGCCUUGGGGCUAAUACCCUCGAGGAAGGACAUCACCCACAGAAGAAGCACCGGCUAACUCCGUGCCAGCAGCCGCGGUAAUACGGAGGGUGCGAGCGUUAAUCGGAAUUACUGGGCGUAAAGCGCGCGUAGGCGGUCUGAUAAGCCGGUUGCGAAAGCCCCGGGCUCAACCUGGGAACGGCAUCCGGAACUGUCAGGCUAGAGUGCAGGAGAGGAAGGUAGAAUUCCCGGUGUAGCGGUGAAAUGCGUAGAGAUCGGGAGGAAUACCAGUGGCGAAGGCGGCCUUCUGGACUGACACUGACGCUGAGGUGCGAAAGCGUGGGUAGCAAACAGGAUUAGAUACCCCAGUAGUC